CCUACGGGAGGCAGCAGUGGGGAAUUUUGGACAAUGGGGGCAACCCUGAUCCAGCCAUGCCGCGUGAGUGAAGAAGGCCUUCGGGUUGUAAAGCUCUUUCAGUUGGGAAGAAACGGGGUUCUCUAACAUAGGAUCCUAAUGACGGUACCGACAGAAGAAGCACCGGCUAACUACGUGCCAGCAGCCGCGGUAAUACGUAGGGUGCGAGCGUUAAUCGGAAUUACUGGGCGUAAAGCGUGCGCAGGCGGUUUUGUAAGACAGGUGUGAAAUCCCCGGGCUUAACCUGGGAACUGCGCUUGUGACUGCAAGGCUAGAGUACGGCAGAGGGGGGUGGAAUUCCACGUGUAGCAGUGAAAUGCGUAGAUAUGUGGAGGAACACCGAUGGCGAAGGCAGCCCCCUGGGCCGAUACUGACGCUCAUGCACGAAAGCGUGGGGAGCAAACAGGAUUAGAUACCCUGGUAGUCCACGCCCUAAACGAUGUCGACUAGUUGUUCGGAGCGGUAACGCACUGAGUAACGUAGCUAACGCGUGAAGUCGACCGCCUGGGGAGUACGGUCGCAAGAUUAAAACUCAAAUGAAUUGACGG
Molecule: ribosomal RNA, 587 nt
Filed under: uncultured Azoarcus sp.
Lineage: Bacteria; Pseudomonadati; Pseudomonadota; Betaproteobacteria; Rhodocyclales; Zoogloeaceae
Description: bacterial SSU rRNA
Rfam family: Bacterial small subunit ribosomal RNA
Source: RNAcentral